AGUCGUGUUGCUUGAUAGUGCAGCACAAAGCGGGAGGUAAACUCCUUCUAAAGCUAAAUAUGACCACGAGACCGAUAGCGAACAAGUACCGUGAGGGAAAGUUGAAAAGCACUCUGAAUAGAGAGUCAAAAAGUACGUGAAACUGCCUAGGGCUCAAACCCGUUGAACUCGAUUAUCCGUGGCGGAGAUAUUCACUAGUAGGCGGCGGGCUGUGUAUGCAGACCGGCACCCUGCUCGGCACUUAUCUCUUGCCUCACGCGGACAUUGCGAUCCAUUACGAACGCCUCUCAUUUGAGCAGCAAAGGCCCGUCGAUGCUCCCUUGGUGGUUAUUGCUUGCACCCAUCGUAGCGACGCUCAGUUCGGAAGGCCUGUGUCGCCAGCUGGGGCUUAUACCACGCGGUGUAGCGUACGGGCGCGUGAUGGAUUACCAAGACACCAGACGUUGGCUACCCCUCACCGGGUACAGCCACCCCUCCCUGGGGGUGCACUCGUGCUGGACUGUCG
Molecule: ribosomal RNA, 505 nt
Filed under: Aedeomyia squamipennis
Lineage: Eukaryota; Metazoa; Arthropoda; Insecta; Diptera; Culicidae
Description: eukaryotic LSU rRNA
Rfam family: Eukaryotic large subunit ribosomal RNA
Source: RNAcentral